UACGGAGGGGGCUAGCGUUGUUCGGAAUUACUGGGCGUAAAGCGCACGUAGGCGGCGAUCUAAGUCAGAGGUGAAAGCCCGGGGCUCAACCCCGGAACUGCGUUGGAUACUGCCGGGCUUGAGUGUGGGAGAGGAGAGUGGAAUUCCCAGUGUAGAGGUGAAAUUCGUAGAUAUUGGGAGGAACACCCGUGGCGAAGGCGGCUCUCUGGACCACAACUGACGCUGAGGCGCGAAAGCUAGGGUAGCAAACGGGAUUAGAAACCCUGGUAGU
This 271-nucleotide ribosomal RNA is filed under the name uncultured bacterium. RNAcentral describes it as "partial 16S ribosomal RNA". It matches the Rfam family "Bacterial small subunit ribosomal RNA", at positions 524 to 794 of the family's 1533-position model. The record is from RNAcentral.